This is a long non-coding RNA of Oreochromis aureus, 363 nucleotides long. RefSeq lists it as uncharacterized. The transcript is spliced from 3 exons. NCBI's taxonomy places the organism in Eukaryota, Metazoa, Chordata, Actinopteri, Cichliformes, Cichlidae. The record is from RefSeq and is a predicted model, not a curated record.
AGGAGCUGUGGUUUGUCAAAGAUCAGCUGUGAUUAUCUGGCAGCAGCGCUGAAGUCCAACCCCUCCCAUCUGAGAGAGCUGGACCUGAGCUGGAACAACCUGCAGGAUUCAGGAGUUAAGCAGCUGUGUGUUCUUCUGGAGAGUCAGAGAAACUCUGAGACUGAGUCACUGUGACCUGUCAGAGAGAAGCUGUGAAGCUCUGUCCUCAGGUCUCAGCUCUCAGACCUCUAACCUGAGACAGCUGGACCUGAGUAACAUCAACCUGAAGGAUUCAGGCGUGAAGCUUCUGUCUGAAGGACUGAAGAGUCCACACUGGAAACUGGAAACUCUCAGUCUGUCAGGCUGUCUGAUCACAGAGGAAGG